Molecule: long non-coding RNA, 2482 nt
Organism: Pteronotus mesoamericanus
Lineage: Eukaryota; Metazoa; Chordata; Mammalia; Chiroptera; Mormoopidae
Exons: 5
Source: RefSeq, a predicted model, not a curated record
AAUUUUUUUGCACCACCCCCACCCCAAUUCCUAUGUUGAAAUCCUAACCCUUUGUACUUCGUGGUGUAAGCUUAUUUGGGUAAUAGGGUCAUUGCCAGUGUAAUUAGUUAAGAUCAGAUCAUACUGGACUAGGGUGGGCCCCAUAUUGGUGUCCUUAUAAAAAGGGGAAAUUUGGAUACACACAAUACACAGGGAGAACACCAUGUAAGGAUGAAAGCAGAGAUCAGGGUGAUGCUUCUAUAAGCCAAGGGACGCCAAAGAUGGCCGGAAAACCUCCAGAAGCUAAGAGAGAGGCACGGAACUCGGUCUCACAGCCCUGGGAAGGAACCAACCCUGCCAACACCUUGAUCUUGGACUUCUGGCCUCCAAAAAUCAGGAGCAACAAUAUAAACUCAGGUCAGAUGCUGUAGUGACAGGAAGCAGAGAAGCCUGACACGAUGCUACGGUACUGUUCUUCUUCUGAAUCUCCCUCACAAAGAUCCUGCAUUUGCGUUCAGAAUAAUGUGGCAUAUAUCAUUCGGAACGAAAUCGCAAUGAAUGGAAACACCCAGCCUACUACUUUCUUUCCCCCACUUUGUCUGGUCCAGAAUAAGGCCCUGGAGGUGCUGUGAUGUCCUGCUCUGUGGUCAAAGAGUAAUGGUUUCACCUCCUUCUUGGAUUCCUCUACAGAGAGCCUUCCUGCUUUUCGCAUGGACAUGUUCUCCACCCUGUGCCAAGAAGAGAGAAUGUGAGUCACUGCUGUUUGCUCUGCCGGAGGUUUAGAGAGCUUGGACAGGUACCACAUUAUGGUGAUCUUGACAAUUUAAAGUGCAUAGUGAGAGGACUUCCAGUCAAGAUGGAGUGUGUGCAGACAUGGCUUGCCUCUUCGCACAAUCACAUCAGAAUUACAACUAAAAUAUAGAACCACCAUCACUCAUAACCAUCAGAAAUCGAGUUGAAUGGAAGUCUGACAACGACGGAAUUAUAGAAACCACAUCCAUCCAGACUGAUAGGAGUGGAAAUGUGGAACAGGCUGGUCCCUCACUCAUGUGUGGUAGAUAAAAAUUCAUGAGGGAUAUCUCAGGAGUGAGGAGUCCCAGCCCCACACCAGGACCCACAGCCCAGGGUUUUAGUGCCAGGAAGAUAAGUCUCAAAUUCUGGCUGCAGAAACCAGCGGAGAUUUUUGGUGGAAAAAACUACUGGAGUCCUAAACAGCUUCCCUUAAAGAACCCACACAUGGACUCACCUACUCAGACUCACUCCCUCUGGGCUCUGGCCUUGGGGUGGUGGCUUGAGGGGCACCGGAGUACAGCGGGAGGCUGAGGUGUCUGGCAUCAAGGCAAGCGGGGCCAUUGUCCCUUUUCUGGGCCCUUCCCCCGCAGAGAUGGCAGAUUGGUGCCAUUUCUGAGACUCCAUCAACCUGGUUAACACUGCUUGACCUACGUUGGAGAUCCGCAGAGAUUCCACCCCACACAAUUUAUGGCUCACUCAGGUUGCUUUUCCAUAUGAAUGGCUGAUCUUGGCGCCAGCUGCACAACUCUCUAAGUCCUCUCAAAUAAGCAACAGCUGGCCUCAGUGAAUCCCAGGCCCAGCUCUAGCAGCAAACAGCCUAGAUUCACAGCGUGAUUUCACCUGGGAAUCUCCAAACCCAGCACAAGUAGUAGCCAUCUCAGAUUGUUUUAUAGCUUAGGCGGGGUGGCCCCAGGCAAAACAAAAGUGGGAACUGGCCUUGGCCUGCACCACCCAGGAAACCCCAGGGCCAGCGCACCCAGUGGACAGCUACAGACCACACUGAAGCACUACCACCCUGCCCCUACACAGCUGAUCCUCCAUGGAGGUUGGUGGUCAGUGGUCACAGCCAAUCUUUGCAGCUGAUUGGCCUGGGUAAAUCCCUCCCAUUGAUCUGCCAACAACAACCGAGGCUUAACUACAAGAGGAGGGCGUACUCAGCCCACAUGAAGGGUGCAUCUUGAGCACCCAGCUUGGGUGAUAGGGGAGACUGUGCCACUGGACCCUAAAAGAAAAAAGUGGAGGAUAUUUUUAACCCAAUAAGAUAAUUAUAUUCUGGAAUUGUAUCCCAUCAGAAUCAUUGCUACAUAAAAAUGGGAAAGACAAGGAUUUUUCAGAAUCAAAUUCCUUCAAGUUAUUAAUGAUCUCCCAAAUAUUGUAUUGAAUUCUUUACUUACCAUUUAGGUGCAAAAUUAUGAUAUAAUAGUGAUGCAUUUAAAUGCAUAAUUAUGGAAGUAACUGUGUUUCUGAAAUGAUUCAUGCAAAUACUGUCUGCAUAAAUAAAUUAUAUUUUAAGGACACUGGCAGGGGGAGGAAUGUAGGGCUCAUUAUGUGAAGAAACCCUUUCCCUAAGUCUUUUAGUAGAGCAAAGUGCCAGCUCUUAAUUUUUCUGACUUCAAAUUUCUGUACUGGAGCUAUCUAACAUGAAGGGACAGUUUACUUAUGUAAAUUAAACCUGUACCUACCUAAAUGUGUGUAUAUACAUUAUCUAUCU